Oryctolagus cuniculus (rabbit) is the source of this 8719-nucleotide non-coding RNA. The record is from RefSeq and is a predicted model, not a curated record. NCBI's taxonomy places the organism in Eukaryota, Metazoa, Chordata, Mammalia, Lagomorpha, Leporidae.
UCUCCUGAGAGUGAACCUGGCUCGGCCCGCGGCCAGGCAAACAGAAGCACCGGCCUCCGACAGGGUUCUGAGCAAACACACCAAGUCAGAGCCGUCCCGGCCGAGGGAGCUGGCCUGCACUUUGUCCCAGUGAAUCAGCUGCACGGAGGCCGGGCCGUUGCAAAGAGCAGCACCUGGCUGGAAGUGAGGGCCAGGUGAGCUGGUACAUGUGGCACCUGGACUUUGGCAGUGUCCCGGGGGCCCGGAGGCAGUACUGGGCCAGCUCCCUGGAGCAGCGCUGAAGGAAGGUGGGAGUCGUCUGAGCAGGAAGCUAAAAUACCUACAUAACUGACCCAAAACCCAAGGGAAAUUCAGAGGGGCAGGAAUGGAGCCGUGGGUUCCUCAGUGGCCCCCUCCAUCUCGGGGAAGGCCCAGGUCGCCAGUGCCGGACUCAGAGCGAGGACUUCAGAGAGACGGAUACCAUCGGCCUGCUCCACACUCUUGGCACAACGGAGAGAGGCUUCCCCAAUGGCAAGACGUCCAGGGGAGCCCCCAGCCACAGCAGGACCCCAGGGCAGGUCCCCAGCGGCCCCAGCACGUGCCCAGGCUGGGGGCAUGGCAGCAGCAUGCACCUGCGGUUGACUAUUACGAAGGUGGUCAUCGCGGUCAGUUGUAUUCAAGGCCGAGUUAUGAGAGCCUCUAUCCAGCCCUGACGGAAGACUAUGCUUACGGAAGCCACUACUACCAUGGACACCCGCAGUGGCAGCAGGAAGGAAGAGUGCCAAGGCAAGGGAGUCCUUAUGUGUGGCAUGACAGUUACCGGGAUCAGAGACACCUCAGCGAACAUCGUCCUGAAAACCAAAGCAGGACGUUCAGAAGAGAUAGUGAAACCCAGUUCCAACGAUCUAACAGGCGAAACCCUCAUAAAGAUGGCCCUGCCUCCAGCUCUGGGCAGGAGAGGCCCGGAGAGCUGUUUGCAGAGGGUCGGCUCAGCUGGGGCCUGACGAGUCAGCCGUCGUUGGGCAGCAAGUCCAACCUUCUGCAGCAACGUGAGGCUGGUCUCAGCUCCAGCAGCUAUGAGCUCAGUCAGUACAUGGUGGACGCCCCCGAGCUGUAUGAUCCUGCCGCUGCAGCGGGCUGGAGGCCAGUCCCAGCCGAGGACAUCCCAGUGGCUGGUCCCAAGGCGCCCAAGAAGUUCUACAUCCCUCACGUGUCUGUGGGUUUUGGGCCAGGAGGUCAGCUGGUGUGUGUGAGUCCCAGCUCUCCCAUGGAUGGCCAAACCGCCCUUGUUGAAGUGCACAGCAUGGAGGUGAUUCUUAACGAUUCGGAAGAACAAGAGGAGAUGAGAAGUUUCCCGGGACCCCUGAUCAGGGAGGACGUGCACAAAGUAGACGUCAUGACGUUCUGCCAGCAGAAGGCAGCUCAGAGCCGCAAGUCUGGGACACCGGGCGGCAGAGACUCUGCUCUUCUGUGGCAACUGUUGGUUCUCCUUUGUCGCCAGAAUGGCUCCAUGGCGGGGUCCGACAUCGCUGAGCUGCUGCUGCAAGACUGUAAGAAACUGGAGAAGUACAAGAAGCAGCCCCCUGUGGCCAACCUCAUCAACCUGGCCGAUGAGGACUGGCCGGUGCUGAGCUCCGGGCCGCGGAACCUGCUCACCGGGGAGACCCCUCCCAGUGUGGAGACGCCUGCGCAGGUGGUGGGAAAGUUCACUCAGUUGCUCUACUAUGGAAGGAAGAAGGAGGCCCUGGAGUGGGCCAUGAAGAACCACCUGUGGGGCCAUGCUUUGUUCCUAUCCAGCAAGAUGGAGCCAAGGACCUACAACUGGGUCAUGAGUGGCUUCACCAGCACGCUGGCGCUCAACGACCCCCUGCAGACCCUCUUCCAGCUCCUGUCCGGGAGGAUCCCACAAGCAGCCACGUGCUGUGGGGACACGCAGUGGGGAGACUGGAGGCCUCACUUGGCUGUGAUUCUGUCGAAUCAGGCUGGGGACCCGGAGCUGCGUCGACGUGUGAUUGUCUCCAUGGGGGACACCCUGGCCAGCAAGGGGCUGGUGGAGGCAGCCCACUUCUGCUACCUCAUGGCUCAGGUGCCCUUCGGACACUACACUGUGAACGCGGACCGUCUGGCCUUGCUGGGCAGUAGCCACAGUCAGGAGUUCCCGAGGUUCGCCUCCGCGGAGGCUAUCCAGAGGACGGAGGUCUUGGAGUACUGUCGGACGCUGGGCGGCCGCCCGGGCCUCAUCGCUUCCUUCCAGGUGUAUAAGCUCCUUUAUGCUUCCCGCCUGGCGGACUACGGCCUGGCGUCCCAGGCCUUCCAUUACUGCGAAGCCAUUGGCACGGCCGUCCUGAGCCAGGCAGAGAGCAGCCACCCUGUGCUAUUAGUGGAACUCAUCAAGCUGGCCGAGAGGCUGAAGCUGGCAGACCCGUUGGUUCUCGAGAGGCGCGGGGGAGAUGAGGCCUGGGAGCCUGACUGGCUGCAGCGGCUCCGGCGGCACCAGGAGCUGCAGCAAAAGGCAGCUGCAGACGCUGGGGAACCUCAUUCUGCAAACUUGGAUACUCCAGGAGCCACAGGAACAACAGAAAGCACUUUCUACCAGGAUCUUCCCGCAUAUCAGCGCUUCUCAGACGCCCCCGGGUGCGAGCCAGCGCCAUGGCCAACACCUACGCAGACUGGCCUGCCCCAGCCCUUUCCCCUCCAGCCAGGGCCCGCCGCAGGGCCGGCAGGGGCACCUGUGCCUCUCUAUUCAGUGCCUGAGACCCACUUCCCGGUCAGCACGGAGGAACCACAGGCUGUUGGAGGACAGGUCUGGGAGGACACGCGGCAGACACACUCAGCCCCUGGAGAGAACAUAGCGUCUCCAGAGACCUUCCAGGAGCCUGAGGGUCUAGAGGUCAUUUCCACGCCACAGGUGAGUGGACGAAGCAGGGUGAAGGUGAAGAGGUGCCUGCUGCUGGGUUUCCCGUGCAUGUAGGUGCCCUGGUUUCUGAGUUCCCUGCAGACUCCUCCCCACCACGGCGCCAGCUCUCUCUCCCACUCUGUGCCUCUUCCUCACUGUUUCUAGCCCCAGUCCUGGGGGGCAGGGAGGAGCCUGUGUUCUUACUUACAUUCAGUCCCACCCCAUGUGUCCUGGGAGGUGGAGUGGAGGGAGCAGAAGAGCUGGUUUAGUUUUGGCCUCAUGGAUCUUUGCCCCCUUGGCAUCCUAACUGUCUGUCUGUCUAUCUAUAUCUAUCUGUCUGUCUAUCUAUCUAUCUAUCUAUCUAUGUAUCUAUCUGAGAGAAAGAGACAGAGGUCUUUCAUCUACUGACUGAUGCCCCAAAUACAGGCCUAGGCCAGGAGCCAGGCACUCCAUCCUGGUCUCCCACAUGGAUGGCAGGACCCAAGUUUUUGGACCAUUGUCUACUACCUCUCAGGUACAUUAGCAGGAGGCUGGAUCAGAAAUAGAGUAGCUGGGACUGAAACCAGCACUCCAAUGUGGAAUGCAGAUGUCCCAAGCAGUGCCUCAACCCACUGCAUCGCAAUGCCUACCUUCUCUUCUUUUUCUAAAUUUAUGUAUGUAUACGUGUACUUUUCUUUCUUUGAAAGGAAGAGAUACACAGAGAGAUAGAGAUAAAAAGAUCUUCCAUCUGUUGAUGCACUUUUCAAACACCUGCAACAAGAGGUGCUGGGCUGGGCUAAAGCUAGGAGCCAGGGACUCAACCUGGGUCUCUCACAUUGGUGGCAGCUGACCCAAGGACUUCAGCCAUCAUCUGCUGCCUUCCAGGGUAUGCAUUAGCAGAAAGCCGGAACUGGUAGUAAAGCCAGCACUUGAACCCAAGCACCAGUGAAUGAGUGGAGGGGAGCGCUUACUCUCUCUGCCUUUCUCAUUCUCUCUGCCUCUCAAAUAAAAAAACAAGAAGUUUAGGGGCUGGCACCGGUAGUAGGUUAAGCCUCUGCCUGUGGUGCUGGCAUUCCAGCUUGGAGUCCUGGUUGCUCCACUUCUGAUCCAGCUGUCUGCUAAUGGCCGGCUAAAGCAGUGGGAGAUAAUCCAAGUACCUGGGCCCCUGUACCCAUGUGGGAGACCCAGAAGAAGCUCCCGGCUCCUGGCUUCUGAUCGGCCCAGCUCCAACCGUUGUAGCUAUUUGGGGAGUGAACCAGCAGAUGGAAGACCUCUCUCUAUGUCUCUCCCUAUCUCUAUCUGUAACUCUGCCUCUCAAAUAAAUAAGUAGAGCUUUAAAAAAAGAUAAAUUUAUUUUGAAAUCUAUGUAUAACUUUUUCAUAAUAUGCAUUUCCACGAACUUCUUGAAAAAUCAUUGUGUAUGUACAUAUAUACUUAAGUGUAUAUGUGUGUAUGAAUAGAUGUGCAUAAAACAUAUGCAUGUGUGUUUUUAAAUGGUGAAGAAAAUGUCCAUGGAGAGCUUUAUUUCUUAUUUUUAAAAAUAUUUAUUUAUUUGGAAGACAUAGUGACAAAAGGGAGAAACAAAGUGAAAGAGAAUUUUUAAAAUUUUUAUUCUAUUUUUUUCAAUUUCCCCCCUUGCUGCUGCCUUUUUUUUUUUUUUUUGAUAGGCAGAGUUAGAGAGAGAGACAGAGAGAAAGGUCUUCCUUCCUUUGGUUCACCCCCCAAAUGGCUGCUACGGCCAGUGCGCUGGACCAAUCCAAAGCCAGGAGCCAGGUGCUUCCUCCUGGUCUCCCAUGCGGGUGCAAGGCCCAAAUACUUGUGUGGGGAGCAAUCCGGACUGGACUAAGUUACUGGAAUUAAGACUUAUUCUAUGCAUCUGCUCUCCCACAACAUGGCGCUGGGAGAGAAGUAAACAGCUUCCGCACAGCUGCCUCCAGUUCAACCAAUAAACAGUAGGACUUGCUCCUGAUUGGAGGAGAGCAGCGUACUCGGCGUGUGGGCAGCCGAGUUAGGAUUGGCGGAGGAGGACUAUAAAGGAGGAGAGAGACGGCAUGCACCGGGGAACAUCUAUGGGGAACAUCUAAGGGGAACAUCUAGCUGAAGGAACACCUGUGCAGCCCCCCGAGAAAGCCGGCUGGCGGUGUGCCGCUCCCCUGCGGAAGUGGGGAAUGUGGCCAGGGGGAACUGCCCUUCCACGGAGGUGGAAGGGAUAGUAGCCAACCCGGGAAGAACCAGCAGCAAACCCGGGGAGGGCCGAGCAGACGAAAGAACAGCGCAGGGUCCUGUGUCGUUCCUCCGCGAAGAGGGGGAGCGACAUAAUGGUGCUGUGACUCGGAUAUGAAGCCUAGGCAGGGUUUAGUGUCAUUCCUCCACGAAGAGGGGGAGCGACAUAAUGGUGCUGUGACUCGGAAGGAAACCUAGGACGGAUAGCAAACUUAGGAGGGAAGAAACGGGAAGAAACGGGAAGAAUUGGGAAAUUAUCGGAGAGAGAGACUAGCAAACAGCCUAGGGAAAAGCCGGACGAAAAAAGGUGCCGGAAGAAGCUAUGGAAAGCCUAGGCAUAGACUCAGAUACGGACUACGGGGGGAAGCUGGGAGAAAUCUCUAAGGUCGAAAGCGAAAGUGAAAGCUAGAACAAACAGACUCGGAUGCGGACUGUGGGGAGAGGCCAGGAGAAAUGAGGGAGGAGUAUUGUUGGAGGAAAGCUUGGGGAAACAUACCGGGUAGAGAAAAAUGUUAGGGAAAUUGAAGCCGCGGGGGGCAGGCCAAGGCGGAAACGGAAGCCACUUUGGGAUUCUCAAGUUAGCCCGGGAAUAGGGGGCGAAAGGUUGAAACCAGAAGCUGAAACGUAAGCCAGAUUGGGAUCCGUCUGAUUAGCCCGGGGAGCAAAGGACGGGAAGCCAAAUCGUGGGGCGGAGACGUAAGCUGGGUUGAAUUCGCCAGGCUAGCCCGGGGAACUUAGAUUGAAUGCUAGUGGCGGACACGUAAGCUACGCUGUGUGACUCGCGGAGGCUGCCGUGCGCAGAGAGAGCGUGCGGGGCACAAGUAGAUAGGGAACGGGGCUGGCGUAGGCCGUGGUGCAGACGCAAAGGGCGUGGAAAGCGGAGCCGCGCAGAUGAGAGAGGCGCUGGCUGAAGCGGCGCAGAGCGGGAAGCUGCGGGGAUAAGAGAAACAGAAGUUUGGAAGUGGAGUGAGAGAAAUGGGAAUGUUGGCAGACAGAAGUAAAAUGGGAGAAAUAGGAAUGCCCGGAGAUAGAGAAAUAGAGAAAUAGAAAGGCCUCCCUACAAUACAACAAUUAGAAGGCUUGGAUUCGGUCUGCCCGAUUAGUGAGGCGAUGAGCACCUGGGCGGCUAGCAGCUUAUGCGCCGCAGGUCACCGAAGACAGGCACGAAUUAACAUCAGUAAGGCCUCCCCACAAAAAGGCAAUGAGAAGGCUUGGAUUCGGUUUGCCUGAUAGGGCUUGUAAGCCCCUGCAGGCAGAGCAGAGCAUGCGCUGCAGGGCACCGAACACAGGCACGCAUCAGCGCCUAAAAACCUCCUCACAACAUGGCGAAGAGAGGACCCGGAUUCGGUUUGCCUGAUUGAUAGGACUUGUAAGAGCCUGUGGCAACUCUAGCAAGUAGAGCAGAGUGUGUGCCGCGGGACACCGAAGACAGGUGCGUAUCAACGCCAAAAAAUAAAAAGAAAGGGGGAUCUGUGGGGAGCAAUCCGGACUGGACUAAGUUACUGGAAUUAAGACUUAUUCUAUGCAUCUGCUCUCCCACAACAUGGCGCUGGGAGAGAAGUAAACAGCUUCCGCACAGCUGCCUCCAGUUCAACCAAUAAACAGUAGGACUUGCUCCUGAUUGGAGGAGAGCAGCGUACUCGGCGUGUGGGCAGCCGAGUUAGGAUUGGCGGAGGAGGACUAUAAAGGAGGAGAGAGACGGCAUGCACCGGGGAACAUCUAUGGGGAACAUCUAAGGGGAACAUCUAGCUGAAGGAACACCUGUGCAGCCCCCCGAGAAAGCCGGCCGGCGGUGUGCCGCUCCCCUGCGGAAGUGGGGAAUGUGGCCAGGGGGAACUGCCCUUCCACGGAGGUGGAAGGGAUAGUAGCCAACCCGGGAAGAACCAGCAGCAAACCCGGGGAGGGCCGAGCAGACGAAAGAACAGCGCAGGGUCCUGUGUCGUUCCUCCGCGAAGAGGGGGAGCGACAACUUGGGCCAUCCUACACUGCCUUCCCAGGCCACAGCAGAGAGCUAGACCGGAAGAGGAGCAACUGGGACAGAAUCUGGCGCCCCAACCGAGACUAGAACCAGGGGUGCCGGCAUCGCAGGCGGAGGAUUAGCCAAGUGAGCGCGGCGCCGGCCAAGAAUUUUCAUCUGCUGGUUCACUCCCCAAGUAGUCACAGUGGCUGGGGCUGAAGCCAGGAGCCCAGAACUCCAUCUGGGUCUCCGGUAUGGGUGGCAGGGGCCCUAACAAAGGGCCUGUUGGUGCCUGUGGUCAGGGAAGGUGUGAGCUCCUGGUGCCUGUGGUCAGGGAAGGUGUGAGCACCUGGUGCCUGUGGUCAUGGAAGGUGUGAGCACAGCAGCCCUGGUGCCUGUGGUCAGGGAAGGUGUGAGCUCCUGGUGCCUGUGGUCAGGGAAGGUGUGAGCUCCUGGUGCCUGUGGUCAGGGAAGGUGUGAGCACCUGGUGCCUGUGGUCAGGGAAGGUGUGAGCACCUGGUGCCUGUGGUCAGGGAAGGUGUGAGCACCUGGUGCCUGUGGUCAGGGAAGGUGUGAGCACCUGGUGCCUGUGGUCAGGGAAGGUGUGAGCGCAGCAGCCCUGGUGCCUGUGGUCAGGGAAGGUGUGAGCACAGCAGCCCUGGUGCCUGUGGUCAGGGAAGGUGUGAGCGCAGCAGCCCUGGUGCCUGUGGUCAGGGAAGGUGUGAGCACAGCAGCCCUGGUGCCUGUGGUCAGGGAAGGUGUGAGCACCUGGUGCCUGUGGUCAGGGAAGGUGUGAGCGCAGCAGCCCUGGUGCCUGUGGUCAGGGAAGGUGUGAGCUCCUGGUGUCUGUGGUCAGGGAAGGUGUGAGCUCCUGGUGCCUGUGGUCAGGGAAGGUGUGAGCGCAGCAGCCCUGGUGCCUGUGGUCAGGGAAGGUGUGAGCACCUGGUGCCUGUGGUCAGGGAAGGUGUGAGCACGGGGACUGGGCUCUGGCCUCAUCCUGACUCCUCAGCAGUCACUGAGGUCAGUCCCGUCGGAGCAUCCUGUGGUGUAUGCAGUGAUGGGUUGUAGAGGGAGCCACAUAAUAUGUGGCAUUGAAAGACAAAUGCCCUAAAUAGCACUCUGGCCUCAGAAUCAGACUUAAGGCAUUCAGAUCUGGAUAAAAAUCCCUUGAGAGUAUUCAGGCAUGGAAAUCCAAGACACUGUGGCAAAAAAUGACUUACAUUAAAGAUCUCUGUGAGUGAGAUCCCAGUGGGAAGAAUGGGCCAUCAAAGAAGGAGGUACCUUUCUCUGAAGGGAGGAGAGAACUUCCACUUUGACUAUGACCUUGUCUAAAUAAGAUCGGAAUUGGCUAACUCGAGAGGCUUCCAUAGCCUUGGCAGCUCAUGACUAGAGCCUCGGGUGAUUACUGACACCAUAAACAAGAGUGUCAAUUGUUAAAUCAACACAACAGGAGUCACUGUGCACUUGCUCCCCAUGUGGGACCUCUGUGCUUAAUGUGUUGUACUGUGAGAAUUAACGGUAAAACUAGUCUUCAAACAGUACUUUGCACCCACACAGACAUGCAAAGUAUAAUCUGUUGAAAUAUUUACUUAGUAUAGAGUUGAUCUUCUGUAUAUAAAGAUAAUUAAACAUGAAUCUUAAUGAAGAAUGGGAUGGGAGAGGGAGUAGGAGGUGGGAUGGUUUGG